AUACGUAGGUGGCAAGCGUUGUCCGGAAUUAUUGGGCAUAAAGCGCAUGUAGGCGGUGCCUUAAGUCUGUCGUGAAACUGCGGGGCCUAACCCCGUAUGGCGAUGGAAACUGUGGCACUUGAGUGCAGGAGAGGAAAGGGGAACUCCCAGUGUAGCGGUGAAAUGCGUAGAUAUUGGGAAGAACACCGGUGGCGAAGGCGCCUUUCUGGACUGUGGCUGACGCUGAGAUGCGAAAGCCAGGGUAGCGAACGGGAUUAGAUACCCCGGUAGUCCUGGCCGUAAACGAUGGGUACUAGGUGUGGGAGGUAUCGACCCCUUCCGUGCCGGAGUUAACGCAAUAAGUACCCCGCCUGGGGAGUACGGCCGCAAGGCUUAAACUCAAAGGAAUUGACGGGG
RNAcentral lists this ribosomal RNA (396 nucleotides) under uncultured bacterium. RNAcentral's name for it is "partial 16S ribosomal RNA". It matches the Rfam family "Bacterial small subunit ribosomal RNA", at positions 523 to 918 of the family's 1533-position model. The record is from RNAcentral.